UACGUAGGGGGCAAGCGUUGUCCGGAUUUACUGGGCGUAAAGCGCGUGUAGGCGGCCACGCAGGUCAGUUGUGAAAACUAGAGGCUCAACCUCUAGACGUCGACGGAAACCGUGUGGCUAGAGUCCGGAAGAGGAGAGUGGAAUUCCUGGUGUAGCGGUGAAAUGCGCAGAUAUCAGGAAGAACACCAAUGGCGAAGGCAGCUCUCUGGGACGGUACUGACGCUGAGACGCGAAAGCGUGGGGAGCGAACAGG
RNAcentral lists this ribosomal RNA (253 nucleotides) under uncultured bacterium. Its description in RNAcentral is "partial 16S ribosomal RNA". It matches the Rfam family "Bacterial small subunit ribosomal RNA", at positions 524 to 776 of the family's 1533-position model. The record is from RNAcentral.